Molecule: ribosomal RNA, 333 nt
Filed under: Blastocystis sp. subtype 1
Lineage: Eukaryota; Bigyra; Opalinata; Blastocystidae
Also listed under: 1 other name
Description: SSU rRNA
Rfam family: Eukaryotic small subunit ribosomal RNA
Source: RNAcentral
AGUAGUCAUACGCUCGUCUCAAAGAUUAAGCCAUGCAUGUGUAAGUGUAAAUAUACUAGUUUGGAACUGCGAAUGGCUCAUUAUAUCAGUUAUAGUUUAUUUGGUGAAGUGUACUACUUGGAUAACCGUAGUAAUUCUAGGGCUAAUACAUGAGAAAGUCCUCUGGUGAGGUGUGUUUAUUAGAAUGAAAACCAUAUGCUUCGGCAUGAUAGUGAGUAAUAGUAACCUAUCGUAUCGCAUGCUUAAUGUAGCGAUGAGUCUUUCAAGUUUCUGCCCUAUCAGCUUUCGAUGGUAGUAUAUGGGCCUACCAUGGCAGUAACGGGUAACGAAGAA